CGUUGCUUUCUUUGCUGGCGACCGGCGCACGGGUGAGUAACACGUAUCCAACCUGCCCUUUACCCGGGGAUAGCCUUUCGAAAGAAAGAUUAAUACCCGAUAGUAUAAUGAUUCCGCAUGGUUUCAUUAUUAAAGGAUUCCGGUAAAGGAUGGGGAUGCGUUCCAUUAGGUUGUUGGUGAGGUAACGGCUCACCAAGCCUUCGAUGGAUAGGGGUUCUGAGAGGAAGGUCCCCCACAUUGGAACUGAGACACGGUCCAA
RNAcentral lists this ribosomal RNA (259 nucleotides) under uncultured bacterium. Its description in RNAcentral is "partial 16S ribosomal RNA". It matches the Rfam family "Bacterial small subunit ribosomal RNA", at positions 74 to 334 of the family's 1533-position model. The record is from RNAcentral.